This 345-nucleotide unclassified non-coding RNA is filed under the name Hevea brasiliensis (rubber tree). The record is from RNAcentral. Lineage: Eukaryota; Viridiplantae; Streptophyta; Magnoliopsida; Malpighiales; Euphorbiaceae.
AAAAAUUUGUGUUGCUGCAGUUCAAAACGGAAAAUCCAUCUCCUUUGGAUAUCACAACCAAAACAAGAACCGCCCGAGUGAACUCUUCCUCUACCUCCAAACAAAAACAACUUCAUGCGUAACUCAAUAUACAAUGUUAAUGCCUCUCCCUAACAAAGAAUAACCUGCUCAUACUACAAGAUCGAAAACUUUAGAAAAGAAUCAUGCUGCCAGACAUUGAGAAGAAACGAAAAAGGAAUCUCAAUAGGCAGGCAUCAUUUCAACUACAGAAGUAUAUUCACGCGAACUUGUUAGGCACAAAACCAUUAGGUACUGGGAAUUGCAUAGGCCGCAUAACAGGAAAAG